This 378-nucleotide ribosomal RNA is filed under the name uncultured bacterium. RNAcentral describes it as "bacterial SSU rRNA". It matches the Rfam family "Bacterial small subunit ribosomal RNA", at positions 521 to 896 of the family's 1533-position model. The record is from RNAcentral.
UAAUACGAGGGGUGCUAGCGUUAUUCGGAAUUAUUGGGCGUAAAGGGUGCGUAGACGGCACAUUAAGUCUGCUGUUAAAUCCUCCGGCCUAACCGGAGAACUGCGGUGGAAACUGAUGAGCUUGAGGGUGAGAGAGAGAAGUGGAAUUCCCGGAGUAGCGGUAAAAUGCGUGGAUCUCGGGAGGAACACCAAUGGCGAAGGCAGCUUCUUGGCUCAUUUCUGACGUUGAGGCACGAAAGCGUGGGGAGCAAACAGGAUUAGAUACCCUGGUAGUCCACGCCGUAAACGAUGACCACUAGAUGUUAGCCUGGCUUAGCUGGGUUAGUGUCGUAGCUAACGCGUUAAGUGGUUCGCCUGGGGGUUACGGUCGCAAGGCUA